This 479-nucleotide ribosomal RNA is filed under the name uncultured bacterium. RNAcentral describes it as "bacterial SSU rRNA". It matches the Rfam family "Bacterial small subunit ribosomal RNA", at positions 28 to 504 of the family's 1533-position model. The record is from RNAcentral.
GAUGAACGCUGGCGGCGUGCCUAAUACAUGCAAGUCGAACGCUUCACUUCGGUGAAGAGUGGCGAACGGGUGAGUAAUACAUAAGUAACCUGGCAUCUACAGGGGGAUAACUGAUGGAAACGUCAGCUAAGACCGCAUAGGUGUAGAGAUCGCAUGAACUCUAUAUGAAAAGUGCUACGGGACUGGUAGAUGAUGGACUUAUGGCGCAUUAGCUUGUUGGUAGGGUAACGGCCUACCAAGGCGACGAUGCGUAGCCGACCUGAGAGGGUGACCGGCCACACUGGGACUGAGACACGGCCCAGACUCCUACGGGAGGCAGCAGUAGGGAAUUUUCGGCAAUGGGGGAAACCCUGACCGAGCAACGCCGCGUGAAGGAAGAAGUAAUUCGUUAUGUAAACUUCUGUCAUAGAGGAAGAACGGUGGAUAUAGGGAAUGAUAUCCAAGUGACGGUACUCUAUAAGAAAGCCACGGCUAACUAC